ACGAACGCUGGCGGCGUACUUAACACAUGCAAGUCGAACGGAAAGGCCCUGCUUUUGUGGGGUGCUCGAGUGGCGAACGGGUGAGUAACACGUGAGUAACCUGCCCUUGACUUUGGGAUAACUUCAGGAAACUGGGGCUAAUACCGGAUAGGAGCUCCUGCUGCAUGGUGGGGGUUGGAAAGUUUCGGCGGUUGGGGAUGGACUCGCGGCUUAUCAGCUUGUUGGUGGGGUAGUGGCUUACCAAGGCUUUGACGGGUAGCCGGCCUGAGAGGGUGACCGGCCACAUUGGGACUGAGAUACGGCCCAGACUCCUACGGGAGGCAGCAGUGGGGAAUAUUGCACAAUGGGCGGAAGCCUGAUGCAGCAACGCCGCGUGCGGGAUGACGGCCUUCGGGUUGUAAACCGCUUUCGCCUGUGAUGAAGCGUGAGUGACGGUAAUGGGUAAAGAAGCACCGGCUAACUACGUG
This 467-nucleotide ribosomal RNA is filed under the name uncultured bacterium. RNAcentral describes it as "partial 16S ribosomal RNA". It matches the Rfam family "Bacterial small subunit ribosomal RNA", at positions 29 to 507 of the family's 1533-position model. The record is from RNAcentral.